CUGCUAUCGNUGUUCGACUAAGCCAUGCGAGUCAAAUGUUCUUCGUGAACAUGGCGGACUGCUCAGUAACACGUGGAUAACCUGCCCNUNGGGUUCGGCAUAACUCCGGGAAACUGGAGAUAAUUCCGAAUAGGUCAAAUAUGCUGGAAUGCUUUUUGGCCAAAAGACCUCGGUUGCCUAAGGAUGGAUCUGCGGUCUAUCAGGUUGUAGUGGGUGUAACGUACCUACUAGCCUACGACGGAUAUGGGUUGUGAGAGCAAGAGCCCAGAGAUGGAUUCUGAGACAUGAAUCCAGGCCCUACGGGGCGCAGCAGGCGCGAAAACUUUACAAUGCGGGAAACCGCGAUAAGGGGACACCGAGUGCCAGCAUUUAUGUUGGCUGUCCACAUGUGUAAACGGCAUGUGUUAGCAAGGGCCGGGCAAGACCGGUGCCAGCCGCCGCGGUAACACCGGCGGCCCGAGUGGUAAUCACUUUUAUUGGGUCUAAAGGGUCCGUAGCCGGUUUGAUCAGUUCUUCGGGAAAUCUGACAGCUCAACUGUUAGGCUUCCGGGGAAUACUGUCAGACUUGGGACCGGGAGAGGUAAGAGGUACUACAGGGGUAGGAGUGAAAUCUUGUAAUCCCUGUGGGACCACCAGUGGCGAAGGCGUCUUACCAGAACGGGUCCGACGGUGAGGGACGAAAGCUGGGGGCACGAACCGGAUUAGAUACCCGGGUAGUCCCAGCCGUAAACGAUGUUCGCUAGGUGUCAGGGGCGGUGCGACCGCUUCUGGUGCCGUAGGGAAGCCGUGAAGCGAACCACCUGGGAAGUACGGCCGCAAGGCUGAAACUUAAAGGAAUUGGCGGGGGAGCACAAGGGCGAAUUCUGCAGAUAUCCAUCAC
RNAcentral lists this ribosomal RNA (880 nucleotides) under uncultured Methanococcoides sp. Its description in RNAcentral is "bacterial SSU rRNA". It matches the Rfam family "Archaeal small subunit ribosomal RNA", at positions 27 to 911 of the family's 1478-position model. The record is from RNAcentral. Lineage: Archaea; Methanobacteriati; Methanobacteriota; Methanomicrobia; Methanosarcinales; Methanosarcinaceae.